GAUGAACGCUGGCGGCGUGCCUAAUACAUGCAAGUCGAGCGAACGGACGAGAAGCUUGCUUCUCUGAUGUUAGCGGCGGACGGGUGAGUAACACGUGGAUACCUACCUUUAAGAACGGGGAAAAUUUGGGAAAUCGGGACCAAAACCGGUAUAAUAUUUUGAACCCAAGGGUUAAAAGGGAAAGAACGUCUUUGCGGGAACUAUUAGUGGAUUCCGCGCUGCAUUGGCUAGUUGUUAAGUUAACGGCUUACCAAGGCAACGAUGCAUAGCCGACUUGAGAGGGUGAUCGGCCACACUGGAACUGAGACACGGUCCAGACUCCUACGGGAGGCAGCAGUAGGGAAUCUUCCGCAAUGGGCGAAAGCCUGACGGAGCAACGCCGCGUGAGUGAUGAAGGUCUUCGGAUCGUAAAACUCUGUUAUUAGGGAAGAACAUAUGUGUAAGUAACUGUGCACAUCUUGACGGUACCUAAUCAGAAAGCCACGGCUAACUACGUG
Molecule: ribosomal RNA, 497 nt
Filed under: uncultured bacterium
Lineage: Bacteria
Description: partial 16S ribosomal RNA
Rfam family: Bacterial small subunit ribosomal RNA
Source: RNAcentral